AUUGAACGCUGGCGGCAGGCCUAACACAUGCAAGUCGAACGAGUGGCGGACGGGUGAGUAAUGUCUGGGAAACUGCCUGAUGGAGGGGGAUAACUACUGGAAACGGUAGCUAAUACCGCAUACCAUCAGAUGUGCCCAGAUGGGAUUAGCUAGUAGGUGGGGGAAUGGCUCACCUGGGCGACGAUCCCUAGCUGGUCUGAGAGGAUGACCAGCACAACGGGAACUAGGAAAGGGUCCAGACUCCUACGGGAGGCAGCAGUGGGGAAUAUUGCACAAUGGGCGCAGGCCUGAUGCAGCCAUGCCGCGUGUGUGAAGAAGGCCUUCGGGUUGUAAAGUACUUUCAGCGGGGAGGCGUUACCCGCAGAAGAAGCAACGGCUAACUCCGUGCCAGCAGCCGCGGUAAUAC
This 406-nucleotide ribosomal RNA is filed under the name uncultured bacterium. RNAcentral describes it as "partial 16S ribosomal RNA". It matches the Rfam family "Bacterial small subunit ribosomal RNA", at positions 30 to 526 of the family's 1533-position model. The record is from RNAcentral.